RNAcentral lists this ribosomal RNA (469 nucleotides) under Lamyctes coeculus. Its description in RNAcentral is "eukaryotic LSU rRNA". It matches the Rfam family "Eukaryotic large subunit ribosomal RNA", at positions 1507 to 1897 of the family's 3401-position model. Lineage: Eukaryota; Metazoa; Arthropoda; Chilopoda; Lithobiomorpha; Henicopidae. The record is from RNAcentral.
UUUCGUGUGAACAGCAGUUGAACACGAGUCAGUCGGUCCUAAGGGAUAGGGGAAACCCGUUCCGAAAGAUACUGAUAAUGACCGUGAUAAAUGGAGACAGAAAGUAUAAGUGCCCGAAAGGGAAUCGGGUUAAUAUUCCCGAACCUGGACACGGAGAUCGAUCGUACGUGGUGACCGUCAAAAGUUCCCGUCGAUCCAAUACGGCAACGUAAACGAACUCAGAGACGUCGUCGGCAGUCCCGGGAAGAGUUGUCUUUUCUUCUUAAGGAACACGCACUCCCUGGAAGCGUUUCGCUCGGAGAGAGGGAGGUCGUUUCCGUAAAGCACCGCGGCUCUUGCGGUGUCCGGAACACUGCCGCCGGCCCUUGAAAAUCUGAGGGAGAGAUUAAAAUUUAAAUGAAUUUCGUGCCAGACCGUACCCAUAUCCGCAGCAGGUCUCCAAGGUGAACAGCCUCUAGUCGAUAGAACA